This 417-nucleotide ribosomal RNA is filed under the name uncultured bacterium. RNAcentral describes it as "bacterial SSU rRNA". It matches the Rfam family "Bacterial small subunit ribosomal RNA", at positions 506 to 921 of the family's 1533-position model. The record is from RNAcentral.
GGCCAGCAGCCGCGGUAAUACAGAGACUGCAAGCGUUAUUCGGAUUCACUGGGCGUAAAGGGUGCGCAGGCGGCCAAGUGUGUGAGGCGUGAAAGCCCGGGGCUUAACCCCGGAAUUGCACCUCAAACUACAUGGCUAGAGCAUUGGAGAGGGUAGCGGAAUUCACGGUGUAGCAGUGAAAUGCGUAGAUAUCGUGAGGAACACCAGAGGCGAAGGCGGCUACCUGGACAAUUGCUGACGCUCAGGCACGAAAGCGUGGGGAGCAAAAGGGAUUAGAUACCCCUGUAGUCCACGCCCUAAACGGUGCACACUAGGUCUUGGCGGAUUCGACCCCACCAGGGCCCAAGCUAACGCGUUAAGUGUGCCGCCUGAGGACUACGGUCGCAAGACUAAAACUUAAAGGAAUUGGCGGGGGAU